GACGAACGCUGGCGGCGUGCUUAACACAUGCAAGUCGAGCGGUAAGGCCCUUUCGGGGGUACACGAGCGGCGAACGGGUGAGUAACACGUGGGUGACCUGCCCUCAGCUCUGGGAUAAGCCUGGGAAACCGGGUCUAAUACUGGAUAUGACUCCAUGACGCAUGUUGUGGGGGUGGAAAGCCUUGUGCGGCUGAGGAUGGGCCCGCGGCCUAUCAGCUUGUUGGUGGGGUGAUGGCCUACCAAGGCGACGACGGGUAGCCGGCCUGAGAGGGCGACCGGCCACACUGGGACUGAGACACGGCCCAGACUCCUACGGGAGGCAGCAGUGGGGAAUCUUGCGCAAUGGGCGAAAGCCUGACGC
RNAcentral lists this ribosomal RNA (361 nucleotides) under uncultured bacterium. RNAcentral describes it as "bacterial SSU rRNA". It matches the Rfam family "Bacterial small subunit ribosomal RNA", at positions 28 to 389 of the family's 1533-position model. The record is from RNAcentral.